Molecule: ribosomal RNA, 468 nt
Filed under: uncultured bacterium
Lineage: Bacteria
Description: partial 16S ribosomal RNA
Rfam family: Bacterial small subunit ribosomal RNA
Source: RNAcentral
GACGAAUGCUGGCGGCGUGCUUAACACAUGCAAGUCGAACGGUGAAGCUCCAGCUUGCUGGAGGGGAUCAGUGGCGAACGGGUGAGUAACACGUGAGCAACCUGCCCCUGACUCUGGAAUAAGCGCUGGAAACGGCGUCUAAUACUGGAUACGAGAAGGGUCCGCAUGGGCACUUUCUGGAAAGUUCUUCGGUUGGGGAUGGGCUCGCGGCCUAUCAGCUUGUUGGUGAGGUAAUGGCUCACCAAGGCGACGACGGGUAGCCGGCCUGAGAGGGCGACCGGCCACACUGGGACUGAGACACGGCCCAGACUCCUACGGGAGGCAGCAGUGGGGAAUAUUGCACAAUGGGCGAAAGCCUGAUGCAGCGACGCCGCGUGAGGGAUGACGGCCUUCGGGUUGUAAACCUCUUUCAGCGGGGAAGAAGCGAAAGUGACGGUACCUGCAGAAGAAGCACCGGCUAACUACGUG